GGCGCCAUAGCCAAGUGGGAAGGCAGGGUUCUGCAAAAACCUUACUCGCGGGUUCGAUUCCCGCUGGCGCCU
RNAcentral lists this transfer RNA (72 nucleotides) under Anaerolineales bacterium. RNAcentral's name for it is "tRNA-Cys". It matches the Rfam family "tRNA". From Rfam's summary of the family: Transfer RNA (tRNA) molecules are approximately 80 nucleotides in length. Lineage: Bacteria; Bacillati; Chloroflexota; Anaerolineae; Anaerolineales. The record is from RNAcentral.